UGCUGACUUCUUAACUGGAGUAUGUGCACGUUCUGUGUCGGUUGUUAUUCAUCCACCUGUGCACUUUUUGUAGAAGCUUUUGUUAGGUUGGCUUGAAUGGGUUCUUAGUUGAACUUGUUUAGUUGACUUGAUAAGACUUCUAUGUCUUUACAAACCAUUGAAGUAUGUUCAGAAUGUCUUUUAUUGGGACUUAACUGGCCCUUUAAACUUUAUACAACUUUCAGCAACGGAUCUCUUGGCUCUCCCAUCGAUGAAGAACGCAGCGAAAUGCGAUAAGUAAUGUGAAUUGCAGAAUUCAGUGAAUCAUCGAAUCUUUGAACGCACCUUGCACCCUCUGGUAUUCCGGAGGGUAUGCCUGUUUGAGUGUCAUUAAAUUCUCAACUUCAAAAGUUUUUAUUAACUUAUUGAAGCUUGGAUGUGGGGGUUGCUGGCAUCUUAGAUGUUCAGCUCCUCUUAAAUGCAUUAGUGGAACCCGUUUUGUUGGGCCACCUUGGUGUGAUAAUUAUCUACGCUUUGGUUGGUUUGACUUUCAGGUAAAGCUCUUAACUGAGGUUUAUUCUGGUUGGGAUACUGCAACUA
RNAcentral lists this ribosomal RNA (579 nucleotides) under Pseudomarasmius glabrocystidiatus. RNAcentral describes it as "eukaryotic LSU rRNA". The stretch from base 216 to 369 matches the Rfam family "5.8S ribosomal RNA". Lineage: Eukaryota; Fungi; Basidiomycota; Agaricomycetes; Agaricales; Omphalotaceae. The record is from RNAcentral.